RNAcentral lists this ribosomal RNA (254 nucleotides) under uncultured bacterium. Its description in RNAcentral is "partial 16S ribosomal RNA". It matches the Rfam family "Bacterial small subunit ribosomal RNA", at positions 524 to 776 of the family's 1533-position model. The record is from RNAcentral.
UACGUAGGGGGCAAGCGUUGUCCGGAUUAUUGGGCGUAAAGAGCGUGUAGGCGGCCACACAGGUCUGCUGUGAAAACUCGAGGCUCAACCUCGAGCUGUCGGUGGAAACCGUGUGGCUAGAGUCCGGAAGAGGAGAGUGGAAUUCCCGGUGUAGCGGUGAAAUGCGCAGAUAUCGGGAAGAACACCCGUGGCGAAGGCGGCUCUCUGGGACGGUACUGACGCUGAGACGGCGAAAAGCGUGGGGAGCGAACAGG